UUUUAAUUACAAAUUAUAAUUAUGUACAUAAGGAUAAAAUUGUAAUUUAAAACAAUUUACUCCCAAUUCAAUACAAAGUAAACAAAUAAUUAGGAUUCUGAUUGACAAUCCAUACUUUCAUUUAGUCUAAGUAAACACCCUACUCUCACUCCCACUCUACACUCCUAAUUCAAGGCUUCUCACUCCUUAGGAUUCCCACUCCAAUCCAAAAAGUAAACGCAGCAAUAGUUGGGCCCUAAAUAAAUUUAGUUCUUAUAAAGCCCAUGAAAAGGUGGGCAGACCUCCUAGGCGACAAAGUUCAAAGCCCAAAAGAUUCUAAAGUCCUCGAAUAGAUUUUAUCCUAAGACAAACCAUGCUUCUAGGUGGUAAGACUUCAAGGUCCAAAAGGUUCUAAGGUCUUAGAAUCCUAUUAUAAGACAAAUCAUCUAGGUGACAAGGCUUUAAAAUGCAAAAGGUUCCGAGGUCAUAGGUUCUUAUUCAAAAAUAAACCUCUUAAAUUCCAAGAAUCAUACGAUCGCAGAGUCUUACUAAAAACAACAUAAAGUUAAAACACUUCUUCUUUUAAGCCAUGGAAAAGCUUGCAUAUUCAUGUGUCAAUCAACAUAGACACAAGAAAACAAGGAUCGCUAGAUGUCACAAGAACAAUGACAUUUGUAAUCAAAGUAAUUAGAACUCAAGUUAAAUCAAUUUUGCCUAUAAAUGUGCCCUUCAUUCUCACUAAAAGAUGUAAAAAAAUGGACUCAAGAGGGGAAAUGCUGAAUUUUUCUCUCUAAAUUCGUAUCUCUAAAAAUUAGGUGAUUGACUUGAUUGUCGAAGACUUUACACUAGCAAAGUCGGCCCUCUAACCCUUUUUUUGUAUUUGUAGAGUAUUAUUGAACAAAGACAUAUUUAUCUCUUAGAAAAGUGGGCUAAGAGGAAGAGAUCCAAAGACCCAUUAAGAACAAGCCAAAGGGUAAAUUCAUCAUCAUCAAAUUCAACAAAGAGGAACCCAAUCGUAAGGGCGUCAUCCUUGGUGAAAUUACAAUGUAAGAAGUUAUGAUAAACUUGCACCAGCAGAUUUAAGUGGUUUGUCUUAUGAUAGAAUCUUAAAACUUUGGAACCUUUUGGGCUUUGAAACAUUGCCACCCAAGUGGUUUAUCCUAAGUAGUUUUACCUCUUCAUGAGCUUUAUAAGGACUAAAUUUAUAUGGGUCCUAACUACGCCUAUCUUAUUUUUGGUCCAACAAUUUUUAUAUAAUAGAUAUAACAAAUAUAACUCACACUUUAGUAAGAGGGCUUUUGACCUUUUCUUAAAAUCAAUAGGCACAAUUAGGGAUGGCAAACAGCGGGUCUGGGUCGGGCUUUUUCAAGCCCAAGUCCAGGCCCACUGUCAGUUAAACGUGCGGGCAUGGGCCGAGCUCGGGCCGAAUUUGGGUUUAUUUGUUUAU
This 1426-nucleotide long non-coding RNA is filed under the name Citrus x clementina. RNAcentral describes it as "Citrus clementina (C. clementina) long non-coding RNA (CCLE_LNC001016)". Lineage: Eukaryota; Viridiplantae; Streptophyta; Magnoliopsida; Sapindales; Rutaceae. The record is from RNAcentral.